UUGGCGGACGGGUGAGUAACGCGUGGGUAACCUGCCUCACACUGGGGGAGUAACAGUUAGAAAUAGCUGCUAAUACCGCAUAAGCGCACGGUUCCGCAUGGAACAGUGUGAAAAACUCCGGUGGUGUGAGAUGGACCCGCGUCUGAUUAGCCAGUUGGCGGGGUAACGGCCCACCAAGCGACGAUCAGUAGCCGGCCUGAGAGGGUGAACGGCCACAUUGGGACUGAGACACGGCCCAA
This 239-nucleotide ribosomal RNA is filed under the name uncultured bacterium. RNAcentral describes it as "partial 16S ribosomal RNA". It matches the Rfam family "Bacterial small subunit ribosomal RNA", at positions 95 to 334 of the family's 1533-position model. The record is from RNAcentral.